AACGAACGCUGGCGGCAUGCCUAACACAUGCAAGUCGAACGAGACCUUCGGGUCUAGUGGCGCACGGGUGCGUAACGCGUGGGAACCUGCCCUUAGGUUCGGAAUAACUCCCCGAAAGGGGUGCUAAUACCGGAUAAUGUCUUCGGACCAAAGAUUUAUCGCCUUUGGUUGGGCCCGCGUUGGAUUAGCUAGUUGGUAGGGUAAAAGCCUACCAAGGCGACGAUCCAUAGCUGGUCUGAGAGGAUGAUCAGCCACACUGGGACUGAGACCCGGCCCAGACUCCUACGGGAGGCAGCAGUGGGGAAUAUUGGACAAUGGGCGAAAGCCUGAUCCAGCAAUGCCGCGUGAGUGAUGAAGGCCUUAGGGUUGUAAAGCUCUUUUACCCGGGAUGAUAAUGACAGUACCGGGAGAAUAAGCUCCGGCUAACUCCGUG
Molecule: ribosomal RNA, 433 nt
Filed under: uncultured bacterium
Lineage: Bacteria
Description: partial 16S ribosomal RNA
Rfam family: Bacterial small subunit ribosomal RNA
Source: RNAcentral